Molecule: ribosomal RNA, 942 nt
Filed under: uncultured bacterium
Lineage: Bacteria
Description: bacterial SSU rRNA
Rfam family: Bacterial small subunit ribosomal RNA
Source: RNAcentral
GAUGAACGCUAGCGGUGUGCCUAACACAUGCAAGUCGUGCGAUCGAGCCAGACUAAUCAUCCUUCGGGGUGUGAAGACUGGUGACGGAGCGGCGGACUGGUGAGUAACACGUGGCUAACCUACCUUCUUGACGGGGAUAACUAUUCGAAAGAAUAGCUAAUACCCGAUAUUGCUGAAGAUCGAUGGAUCUUCAGCCAAAGGCGGCCUAGUCGUCACAAGAGGAUGGGGCUGCGCCCUAUUAGCUUGUUGGUAAGGUAAUGGCUUACCAAGGCAAUGAUGGGUAGCUGGUCUGAGAGGAUGAUCAGCCACAUUGGGACUGAGAUACGGCCCAGACUCCUACGGGAGGCAGCAGUGGGGAAUAUUUCACAAUGGGCGAAAGCCUGAUGGAGCAACACCGCGUGGGGGAUGAAUGCCUUCGGGUUGUAAACCCCUUUUCUGGGGGAAGAAUAAGGUCGGGAAGGAAUGCCCGUCCGAUGACGGUACUCCAGGAAUAAGGAUCGGCUAACUUCGUGCCAGCAGCCGCGGUAAGACGAAGGAUCCGAGUGUUAUCCGGAAUUACUGGGCGUAAAGGGCGUCUAGGCGGCCAAGUAAGUCACCCGUGAAAGUCCGCGGCUCAACCGCGGAAUGCCGGGUGAAACUGCUUGACUUGGGUAUAGGAGAAGAGGGUGGAACUCACAGAGUAGCGGUGGAAUGCGUAGAUACUGUGAGGUACCCCGAUGGCGAAAGCAACCCUCUGGCCUGCUACCGACGCUGAAGCGCGAAAGCGUGGGGAGCAAAGGGGAUUAGAUACCCCCGUAGUCCACGCCGCAAACGAUGUUCACUUGGUGUCGGUCGCUGAUACAGAUCGGUGCCGGAGCUAACGUGUUAAGUGAACCGCCUGGGGAGUACGGCCGCAAGGCUAAAACUCAAGAGAAUUGACGUGGCCUCGCACAAGCGAUGGAG